CAGGCAGAAUUAAUAAUCGCGGAAUUGAAUUAUUACAAUUUAAUUUUGAGGAAAGUCCGGGCUUCACAGAGCAUGGUGCCGUUUUAAAACGGUGAAGGCAACUUUAAGGAAAGCGCAACAGAAAAUAUACCGCCGCAUUUUAAAAAAAUUAAUAGUUAUCAUUUUUUGUCUUUUUAUUUAUAUUGCGGUAAGGGUGAAAUAGUGAGGUAAGAGCUCACUCUGAUAUGCGGCAACGCGUACAGUGGCAAGCCCCGCCAGAAGAAAGAACAAAUAGGGAAACUUAAGGCUGCUCGUCUUACACGGUUUUCGGGUUGUUCGCUUAGAUAAAUGAUUAUUUUAAUUAACAGAACUCGGCUUAUGAUUUUGCCUGACUU
RNAcentral lists this RNase P RNA (374 nucleotides) under Candidatus Acidulidesulfobacter guangdongensis. RNAcentral describes it as "Candidatus Acididesulfobacter guangdongensis RNase P RNA component class A". It matches the Rfam family "Bacterial RNase P class A". Rfam says of the family: Ribonuclease P (RNase P) is a ubiquitous endoribonuclease, found in archaea, bacteria and eukarya as well as chloroplasts and mitochondria. Its best characterised activity is the generation of mature 5'-ends of tRNAs by cleaving the 5'-leader elements of precursor-tRNAs. Cellular RNase Ps are ribonucleoproteins. The record is from RNAcentral. Lineage: Bacteria; Candidatus Acidulodesulfobacteriota; Candidatus Acidulidesulfobacterales; Candidatus Acidulidesulfobacteraceae.